Long non-coding RNA from Python bivittatus (Burmese python), 821 nucleotides. RefSeq lists it as uncharacterized. The record is from RefSeq and is a predicted model, not a curated record. Lineage: Eukaryota; Metazoa; Chordata; Lepidosauria; Squamata; Pythonidae.
UCCAGGUCGCACUGGAAUCCAGUUGCGGACUGGCUUGACCAGCUAGAGAUGCCAAAGCCUGGAAAGAUGCCUACUAAUUCCCUGGUGGAGAUUAGGCAGUGCCUGGAAACUUUAAAAGUUUCAGCAGUAAAAGCUGACAGAUGAAUGCUAGCUGCUCGGACCAGAUGGCUUUUGUUGGAAGCCCUUAAAAAGAAGUAUUCAACUGACCUACAAAACGAUGUACAAUUUUUAGGAGUCCUGUGGUCAAGGAAAGACACGGGCUUUAUCUCACACUGUGGUUGACAAGAGUCCUUGAAUGCUAUCACUGAUGUCCUACAGCAGUAAAUCAGGCCCCUUGAUGUGCCAAUGGCUGCCCAAGGAGGAAUAUGUGCCAUUAAGCAGUAAUGUUAUUUGUUCAUCCCGGACAAGGCUGAAUUUUUGAAUAAAAGCAUCCAGUUUAAGGAAGUACCACAAUACCACCUGAAAAAUGAAGGGUUGCUGGGGGAGCUUAAUGUUUUUGGAUGGGGAGCAUGGUAGAAAAAGGUUUUGGUGUUUCUUUGUAUGAUUGUUGCAUGUUCACUUUUAUUAAGUAUGGUAAUAUAUUGUUGGUGGUUUUUUUGUAUUCAGUUAGAGCUGGAGGAUUGCCAUAUAGAAAUCCUGCUUGUGCAAGCACCACAUUAUUUAGUCCACACCUAGGCACCCCUGAGGGAAGUGGAAGUUUAUCGGCAAGAUUGUAAGGGGCGAUAUGGCUCAUUUUUUUAUACUAGGGGUGACUGUAUACCCUGAACUAAGCUAACGCCGUAUUUCAGCGUGUUCACUCCUGUAAGUAUUUACCUUUAAUA